UGGUAGAGCUCCCAAUACAGAGCGCCUAGCAAUAAAACAUGAGCAAAACAGCCCACACAGGAGCAACUUGUGUGUGUGUGUGUGUGUGUGUGUGUGUUGUCGGUUGGACCACAUCCUAGAAGAUCCUUUUUUCCCUGCUCAGUGGAGCUCACGCACAGCAGCUGUACAAUUGCCCCGGCAGGUUAAUCCCCGACACCACUAGGAAUGCCGGGCUCUACCCUUCAUCAGCUCAUUGCGGAUUCCUUCAGAGAGGUGAAGGCCUUCAAUAAGCACUCUGCACGGCAUGAUGAAAGGACGAGGAGGAGGAAGGGAGCUAAAGAACGUGGGGGAUGGGCGUGCUGAGCAAAAAUUGCCGUGCGGAAUAAACGAUCGCAAACUAAUCUGUGAGAUGUCAGAUAAGCGCUUGAGUGCGAGGAACCGCCCACGCAGACGGGAAAGGGGGCUUUUAAUUUUAUAUCCCUGCUUCAAAUAAAAUGAUUUAAUGAGCUUCAA
Syngnathus acus (greater pipefish) is the source of this 492-nucleotide long non-coding RNA. RefSeq lists it as uncharacterized. The transcript has 2 exons. The record is from RefSeq and is a predicted model, not a curated record. Lineage: Eukaryota; Metazoa; Chordata; Actinopteri; Syngnathiformes; Syngnathidae.